Molecule: ribosomal RNA, 1244 nt
Filed under: metagenome
Description: bacterial LSU rRNA
Rfam family: Bacterial large subunit ribosomal RNA
Source: RNAcentral
UGAAUACGAGAUGCUACGGCGUCGAAGCAGUCUAUGUCAUACUUCCAAGAAAAGCUUGCACUGUCAUAAACAAAUAAUGCCUGUACCAUAACCGACACAGGUGGGUAGGUAGAGUAUACUAAGGGGCGCGAGAUAACUCUCUCUAAGGAACUCGGCAAAAUGACUCCGUAACUUCGGGAGAAGGAGUGCCUUAUUUAUAAGGUUGCAAUAACAAGAUCCAAGCAACUGUUUACCAAAAACACAGGUCUCCGCUAAGUCGUAAGACGAUGUAUGGGGGCUGACGCCUGCCCAGUGCCAGAAGGUUAAAGAAGUUGGUUAGCAUCCGCGAAGCUGAUAACUGAAGCCCUGGUGAACGGCGGCCGUAACUAUAACGGUCCUAAGGUAGCGAAAUUCCUUGUCGGGUAAGUUCCGACCCGCACGAAAGGCGUAAUGAUUUGGAUACUGUCUCGGAGAGGGGCUCGGUGAAAUAGACUUGUCUGUGAAGAUGCGGACUACCUGCACCAGGACAGAAAGACCCUAUGAAGCUUUACUGUAACCUGAAAUUGAAAUUGGACUUUACCUGCGCAGUAUAGGUGGGAGGCGUUGAGAAUAUUCUUGCGGGAUUAUUGGAGCCAUCAGUGAGAUACCACUCUUGUAAUGUUAGAUUUCUAACUUUGUAUCAUUAUCUGGUCAAAGAACAGUUUCAGGCGGGCAGUUUGACUGGGGCGGUCGCCUCCUAAACGGUAACGGAGGCGCACAAAGGUUUCCUCUGAACGGGUAGAAAUCGUAUCUAGAGUGUAAAGGCAUAAGGAAGCUUGACUGUGAGACCUACAAGUCGAGCAGGGACGAAAGUCGGUCUUAGUGAUCUGACGGUGCUGAGUGGAAAGGCCGUCACUCAACGGAUAAAAGUUACUCUAAGGAUAACAGGCUGAUCUCCCCCAAGAGUUCACAUCGACGGGGAGGUUUGGCACCUCGAUGUCGGCUCAUCGCAUCCUGGGGCGGUAGUACGUCCCAAGGGUUGGGCUGUUCGCCCAUGAAAGCGGUACGCGAGCUGGGUUCAGAACGUCGUGAGACAGUUCGGUCCAUAUCCGGUGUAGGCGUUAGAAUAUUGAGAGGAGCCUUCUUUAGUACGAGAGGACCGAGAAGGACAUACCUCUGGUGUACCAGUUAUCGUGCCAACGGUAAACGCUGGGUAGCUAUGUGUGGAGUGGAUAACCGCUGAAAGCAUCUAAGUGGGAAGCCCACCUCAAGAUAAGUAUUCUCAC